Molecule: long non-coding RNA, 605 nt
Filed under: Nicotiana benthamiana
Lineage: Eukaryota; Viridiplantae; Streptophyta; Magnoliopsida; Solanales; Solanaceae
Description: long non-coding RNA (NBEN_LNC002466)
Source: RNAcentral
AAUCAACUCUAGAGUCCUGAGUAAUUUUUGUUGCUAGCAGGAGGAAGUACAUUGUGAUGUAAAAAGGAAAGAGAGGUGAAAUUUCAUAUUUAUCAAGAAAGUGCCAAAGCAUGUAAAAGCAAACAAGAUCCUACCAUGUGUAGUGGGCUCGACGCCCUUAUGUAAGCUAUGCUUUUAGGAAUCAGCAAUUUAUUCAAUGAAUAUGUAUUGCUGAAAGGAUAUAGAAGAUUCACACAAACAGGCCUUACUAUUUGGGUUUUGAGGUCAAGUUGAUUGAUUGAUAGAUUUGAAUUCUGGUGUGAUAUGUCUGCUGGAUCUCUUUAGAGAUCCCUCUCUUUACUCGAUGGAUAGCGCUUAUUCUCUUUCAAUCAACAAAAUGAGUUUCCUUAGAUAAUUGAGAUCCCUUUGCUGUUAGGUUUCUUUUUAUUCUCCUGGUCAAGAGUUUGUUCCUUUAGAAAGGCCAGACGAUCAAAACAAUACAUCUGGGAAAAAGAAGGCCAUACCCAAUGGGUUCUCUCUUCUGACAUAAGAUACUUGUGAUUUUCCCUGUUAUAUAUUAUUACUUGUCAAAGAAGGAAGAUGUUAGAUAAUACGCUUAACGCUAG